Molecule: long non-coding RNA, 599 nt
Organism: Cucumis melo (muskmelon)
Lineage: Eukaryota; Viridiplantae; Streptophyta; Magnoliopsida; Cucurbitales; Cucurbitaceae
Exons: 3
Source: RefSeq, a predicted model, not a curated record
AAAGAAAUUGGAUAAGAGAUGAUGAAGGAUAACAGCUAGGAACCGUCCACGUGUAUGGUGGAUGUUCACCAAUUUGGUCUUCCAUGAGACUACAUUAUAGAGAACCCAAAACACAAAAGUUCACAAUCACAUACUGCUUUGGAAAUUAAGAUUUUGAUUCUAAGAGUUUGAAAAACAAAAUGAGUUCUGGUUGCAAGUGUGGUGACAACUGCUCAUGUGGAGAUAGUUGCAAUUGCCUCUCGAGGACCAUCAAGAAGGCCACCUCCCUAAUCAACAUGAAUAACGGUUGCAGCUGCUGUGAUAGUAGCUGCUCAUGCGACGCCUGCGAUUGCUGCUAAUGAGCUCUUGGAGAGAUGAAUGAAUCCCUUAAACAACAAAGCUCUGUGAAAUGGAAUAAAAUUAUGUAACAAUAUGCAAAAAAGAAAAUUGUGCUUUUGGCUUCUUGUGUUUUUGCACUUUGUUUGAAAUUAGUGUGUGAAAGAACUAUGUAACUGCUUUGUUGUGGGCUAUGAGUGGGUUGUUGUUUUAUAUAAUCAAAGUUGCUACAAAUAUUUGUUUGGAGUAUUGUGUGUAAUGGAAAUUUGGUUUAAUUUGUGUAA